This 481-nucleotide ribosomal RNA is filed under the name uncultured bacterium. RNAcentral describes it as "partial 16S ribosomal RNA". It matches the Rfam family "Bacterial small subunit ribosomal RNA", at positions 28 to 507 of the family's 1533-position model. The record is from RNAcentral.
GAUGAACGCUGGCGGCGUGCCUAACACAUGCAAGUCGAGCGAAGCGCUUAAAUUAGAUUUCUUCGGAAUGACGAUUUUUGUGACUGAGCGGCGGACGGGUGAGUAACGCGUGGGUAACCUGCCUCAUACAGGGGGAUAACAGUUAGAAAUGACUGCUAAUACCGCAUAAGACCCCAGCUUCGCAUGAAGCGGUGGUCAAAACUCCGGUGGUAUGAGAUGGACCCGCGUCUGAUUAGCUAGUUGGUAAGGUAACGGCUUACCAAGGCGACGAUCAGUAGCCGACAUGAGAGGGUGACCGGCCACAUUGGGACUGAGACACGGCCCAGACUCCUACGGGAGGCAGCAGUGGGGAAUAUUGCACAAUGGGGGAAACCCUGAUGCAGCGACGCCGCGUGAAGGAUGAAGUAUUUCGGUAUGUAAACUUCUAUCAGCAGGGAAGAAAGUGACGGUACCUGACUAAGAAGCCCCGGCUAACUACGUG